CCAGACUCCUACGGGAGGCAGCAGUGAGGAAUAUUGGUCAAUGGCCGCAGGGCUGAACCAGCCAAGUCGCGUGAGGGAUGACGGUCCUAUGGAUUGUAAACCUCUUUUGUCAGGGAGCAAAGGGCGCCACGUGUGGCGCUUUGCGAGUACCUGAAGAAAAAGCGUCGGCUAACUCCGUGCCAGCAGCCGCGGUAAUACGGAGGAUGCGAGCGUUAUCCGGGUUUAUUGGGUUUAAAGGGUGCGCAGGCGGGCCUGGUAAGCCGGAGGUGAAGGGCGGGGGCCCACCCCCGGCCCGCCGUUGAAACUGGCAGUCUCGAGUUGGAGAGAAGUAUGCGGAAUGCGCGGUGUAGCGGUGAAAUGCAUAGAUAUCACGCAGAACUCCGAUUGCGAAGGCAGCGUACCGGCGCCCAACUGACGCUGAAGCACGAAGGCGUGGGUAUCGAACAGGAUUAGAUACCCGUGUAAC
Molecule: ribosomal RNA, 466 nt
Filed under: uncultured bacterium
Lineage: Bacteria
Description: bacterial SSU rRNA
Rfam family: Bacterial small subunit ribosomal RNA
Source: RNAcentral